RNAcentral lists this transfer RNA (91 nucleotides) under Nitrospirota bacterium. Its description in RNAcentral is "Nitrospirae bacterium tRNA-Ser". It matches the Rfam family "tRNA". Rfam says of the family: Transfer RNA (tRNA) molecules are approximately 80 nucleotides in length. Their secondary structure includes four short double-helical elements and three loops (D, anti-codon, and T loops). RNAcentral also lists the same sequence under 1 other name. The record is from RNAcentral. Lineage: Bacteria; Pseudomonadati; Nitrospirota.
GGAGAGGUGGCCGAGUUGGCUGAAGGUGCACGACUGGAAAUCGUGUGUGGGGUUAAACUCACCGAGGGUUCGAAUCCCUCCCUCUCCGCCA